RNAcentral lists this transfer RNA (59 nucleotides) under Ictidomys tridecemlineatus (thirteen-lined ground squirrel). RNAcentral describes it as "Spermophilus tridecemlineatus (thirteen-lined ground squirrel) tRNA". It matches the Rfam family "tRNA", at positions 7 to 64 of the family's 71-position model. From Rfam's summary of the family: Transfer RNA (tRNA) molecules are approximately 80 nucleotides in length. Their secondary structure includes four short double-helical elements and three loops (D, anti-codon, and T loops). Lineage: Eukaryota; Metazoa; Chordata; Mammalia; Rodentia; Sciuridae. The record is from Rfam by way of RNAcentral.
GUCGCUUAGUGGUAGAGUGCAUUUUUGGUAUGCAUGAGGCCCUGGGUUCAAUUCCCAGC